Molecule: ribosomal RNA, 301 nt
Filed under: uncultured bacterium
Lineage: Bacteria
Description: partial 16S ribosomal RNA
Rfam family: Bacterial small subunit ribosomal RNA
Source: RNAcentral
CAGUAGCCACGGUAAUACGGAGGGGGCUAGCGUUGUUCGGAAUUACUGGGCGUAAAGCGCACGUAGGCGGCUUUGUAAGUCAGAGGUGAAAGCCUGGAGCUCAACUCCAGAACUGCCUUUGAGACUGCAUCGCUUGAACGUCGGAGAGGUGAGUGGAAUUCCGAGUGUAGAGGUGAAAUUCGUAGAUAUUCGGAAGAACACCAGUGGCGAAGGCGGCUCACUGGACGACUGUUGACGCUGAGGUGCGAAAGCGUGGGGAGCAAACAGGAUUAGAUACCCGUGUAGUCCCUGUCUCUUAUAC